CUGUUAAUAUUUUCAUUUAGGUAACAGAUGAUUUCAGCUGUCUUUUCACAUGGCUAGCAAAGAAAUCACAAACUCAAGACAGCAUCGUUUUAAAGCAGUGAAUGGCCACAGCUCUGAAAUCCGAGGAUGCUAUUCCAGUCUCUGUGGAAUGCUGUGCAGCCUACUGAAAUAAAGCAGAAAGACUAGAGCCUGCACUAAGUAGCAUGAGAAUGCAUCAUAUAAACCUUACAGCAUAACAUUAAAGGAAAUGACAAGUGGAAGAAUGGCAAUACUUUCUUUAAUGAAGAAAAUAUGAUUUUUAGCCUUGAAAGAGUAACUUUUUUAUCCAGUCUGAAGGACUAAACCCAAGUGCUAUACAGACUCAAAGCCAACCUCUGAAAUUUUCAGGUACAACCAAGUACUUCAGGCAGCAUGUUUAAUUUAGGAGUGUUCACUGGUUUUGAUUUGACUCACAUUUACAUUCAAACUUCGAAGAAUAAAAAGACACAACGAUUA
This is a long non-coding RNA of Pezoporus occidentalis (night parrot), 495 nucleotides long. RefSeq lists it as uncharacterized. The record is from RefSeq and is a predicted model, not a curated record. NCBI's taxonomy places the organism in Eukaryota, Metazoa, Chordata, Aves, Psittaciformes, Psittacidae. The transcript has 2 exons.